Molecule: ribosomal RNA, 441 nt
Filed under: uncultured soil bacterium
Lineage: Bacteria
Description: bacterial SSU rRNA
Rfam family: Bacterial small subunit ribosomal RNA
Source: RNAcentral
AGAGCGAACGCUGGCGGCAGGCCUAACACAUGCAAGUCGAACGGACCCUUCGGGGUUAGUGGCGGACGGGUGAGUAACACGUGGGAACGUGCCUUUGGUUCGGAAUAGCUCCUGGAAACGGGUGGUAAUGCCGAAUGUGCCCUUCGGGGGAAAGAUUUAUCGCCAUUAGAGCGGCCCGCGUCUGAUUAGCUAGUUGGUAAGGUAAUGGCUUACCAAGGCGACGAUCAGUAGCUGGUCUGAGAGGAUGACCAGCCACAUUGGGACUGAGACACGGCCCAAACUCCUACGGGAGGCAGCAGUGGGGAAUCGUUGCGCAAUGGGCGAAAGCCUGACGCAGCCAUGCCGCGUGAAUGAUGAAGGUCUAGGAUUGUAAAAUUCUUCACCGGGGACGAUAAUGACGGUACCGGAGAAGAAGCCCGGCUAACUCGUGCCAGCAGCCGC